Molecule: long non-coding RNA, 252 nt
Filed under: Solanum tuberosum (potato)
Lineage: Eukaryota; Viridiplantae; Streptophyta; Magnoliopsida; Solanales; Solanaceae
Description: long non-coding RNA (STUB_LNC005600)
Source: RNAcentral
CCUCCUCAAAAUAGGCCCAACUUGCAGGUGGUGCAUCCUCAGCUCUACCCCCUUUCCACUGGUCGAACCAAGUCCUAGCGACAUUCUUCAGUUGAUAUGUAUCUAGCUCAACUCUCUCAUUAUCAGCAACAUGCAUCACAUCAAACACCUUUUUCAGUUCAUCAACAAAGUUCUCCGAAUCCUCAAAAGUGCUUGAACCAGUGAAACCUGGAGGAUUCAUCCUCAAGAACUAACGAAUCCUUGAAGUGUCAG